GAUGAACGCUGGCGGCGUGCCUAACACAUGCAAGUCGAGCGAAGCACCUUACUUGAUUUCUUCGGGAUGAAAGUAUUGUGACUGAGCGGCGGACGGGUGGGUAACGCGUGGAUAACCUGCCUCAUACAGGGGGAUAACAGUUAGAAAUGACUGCUAAUACCGCAUAAGACCACAGCACCGCAUGGUGCGGUGUGAAAAACUCCGGUGGUAUAAGAUGGACCCGCGUCUGAUUAGCUGGUUGGUGGGGUAACGGCCCACCAAGGCGACGAUCAGUAGCCGGCCUGAGAGGGUGAACGGCCACAUUGGGACUGAGACACGGCCCAG
Molecule: ribosomal RNA, 324 nt
Filed under: uncultured bacterium
Lineage: Bacteria
Description: bacterial SSU rRNA
Rfam family: Bacterial small subunit ribosomal RNA
Source: RNAcentral